GGGAAGUGAUGAUUGGGUUUAAUCUCGCAUUAAAUGCUUGAUGAGCGUUCCGCUCAAACCUUUUUACGACAAUUGGGCGCUCCAAUUUCGAUUUAUCUGAUCCC
Small nucleolar RNA from Raphanus sativus (radish), 104 nucleotides. RefSeq annotates it as small nucleolar RNA Z279/snoR105/snoR108. The transcript has a single exon. Lineage: Eukaryota; Viridiplantae; Streptophyta; Magnoliopsida; Brassicales; Brassicaceae. The record is from RefSeq and is a predicted model, not a curated record.